Molecule: ribosomal RNA, 208 nt
Filed under: Salmonella enterica subsp. enterica
Lineage: Bacteria; Pseudomonadati; Pseudomonadota; Gammaproteobacteria; Enterobacterales; Enterobacteriaceae
Description: partial 16S ribosomal RNA
Rfam family: Bacterial small subunit ribosomal RNA
Source: RNAcentral
GGCUCAGAUUGAACGCUGGCGGCAGGCCUAACACAUGCAAGUCGAACGGUAACAGGAAGCAGCUUGCUGCUUCGCUGACGAGUGGCGGACGGGUGAGUAAUGUCUGGGAAACUGCCUGAUGGAGGGGGAUAACUACUGGAAACGGUGGCUAAUACCGCAUAACGUCGCAAGACCAAAGAGGGGGACCUUCGGGCCUCUUGCCAUCAGA